This is a long non-coding RNA of Oncorhynchus tshawytscha (Chinook salmon), 531 nucleotides long. The record is from Ensembl. Lineage: Eukaryota; Metazoa; Chordata; Actinopteri; Salmoniformes; Salmonidae.
GUGGUCAGGCAGGUGGGCUCAGAGUCAGGACAGGCAGAGUGGUCAGGCAGGUGGGCUCAGAGUCAGGACAGGCAGAGUGGUCAGGCAGGCGGGCUCAGAGUCAGGACAGGCAGAGUGGUCAGGCAGGUGGGCUCAGAGUCAGGACAGGCAGAGCGGUCAGGCAGGUGGGCUCAGAGUCAGGGCAGGCAGAGCGGUCAGGCAGGUGGGCUCAGGGUCAGGACAGGCAGAGUGGUCAGGCAGGUGGGCUCAGAGUCAGGACAGGCAGAGUGGUCAGGCAGGUGGGCUCAGAGUCAGGACAGGCAGAGUGGUCAGGCAGGUGGGCUCAGAGUCAGGACAGGCAGAGUGGUCAGGCAGGUGGGCUCAGGGUCAGGCAGGUGGGCUCAGAGUCAGGACAGGCAGAGUGGUCAGGCAGGCGGGCUCAGAGUCAGGACAGGCAGAGUGGUCAGGCAGGCGGGCUCAGAGUCAGGACAGGCAGAGUGGUCAGGCAGGUGGGCUCAGAGUCAGGACAGGCAGAGUGGUCAGGCAGGUGGG